UGGGGAAUCUUGGACAAUGGGCGCAAGCCUGAUCCAGCCAUGCCGCGUGAGUGAAGAAGGCCUUCGGGUUGUAAAGCUCUUUUACCAGGGACGAUAAUGACGGUACCUGGAGAAUAAGCCCCGGCAAACUUCGUGCCAGCAGCCGCGGUAAUACGAAGGGGGCUAGCGUUGUUCGGAAUUACUGGGCGUAAAGCGCACGUAGGCGGAUUGUUAAGUCAGAGGUGAAAUCCCGGAGCUCAACUUCGGAACUGCCUUUGAUACUGGCAAUCUAGAGUCCGGAAGAGGUUAGUGGAAUUCCCAGUGUAGAGGUGAAAUGCGUAGAUAUUGGGAAGAACACCGGUGGCGUAGGCGACUAGCUGGGCUGUAACUGACGCUGAGGAACGAAAGCCAGGGGAGCGAAUGGGAUUAGAUACCCGAGUAGUCCCUGAGCGGGCUGGCAAGGCGCAU
This 447-nucleotide ribosomal RNA is filed under the name uncultured bacterium. RNAcentral's name for it is "bacterial SSU rRNA". It matches the Rfam family "Bacterial small subunit ribosomal RNA", at positions 355 to 825 of the family's 1533-position model. The record is from RNAcentral.